CCUUUCUUUUUCUUAUUCAUGCUUUCAUGAAAUGCAACACAUCACAGCUAAUCACAUAAAGGAUUGUAUUGUCACCAUUAGUCCUCAACAUCUCCAAAUGCCAGGGGCAUAGAAUGGGCCUCACUGGUCUUUCUCUUACAUAUCAUAACAUUCCUAAAAUGCCAGGGGCGUAGAAUGGGCCUCGCUGGUCUUUCUCUUUCAUAGUGCCAGGGGCGUAGAAUGGGCCUCACUGGUCUUCCAUAACAUAUCAUCAUAACAUAACAUCAGAGGACUAUGGAUCACCCAACAACCAUCCACAUCAACAUCAAUUUAUGCAAUGCAGCAUAUUCGUGAAUUCUAAUGCAAACAUCCUGAAAUAUUGCAUGGCAUAAUGAUGCAUGGGCAAUGCUUUAUGAUUCAUUCAUUUAUUCAUUUACAUUACUUUAAAACUUAAAGGAUUGUUCCACUCACCUGGUGACUGAAGCUUAACAACGAACUCUGAACGACUAUCUCACAACCGGGGGUCUCGGUUCCUCGA
RNAcentral lists this long non-coding RNA (517 nucleotides) under Manihot esculenta (cassava). RNAcentral's name for it is "long non-coding RNA (MESC_LNC000715)". The record is from RNAcentral. Lineage: Eukaryota; Viridiplantae; Streptophyta; Magnoliopsida; Malpighiales; Euphorbiaceae.